RNAcentral lists this transfer RNA (73 nucleotides) under Gemmatimonadales bacterium. RNAcentral describes it as "tRNA-Arg". It matches the Rfam family "tRNA". Rfam says of the family: Transfer RNA (tRNA) molecules are approximately 80 nucleotides in length. Their secondary structure includes four short double-helical elements and three loops (D, anti-codon, and T loops). The record is from RNAcentral. Lineage: Bacteria; Pseudomonadati; Gemmatimonadota; Gemmatimonadia; Gemmatimonadales.
GGGCUAUAGCUCAACUGGCAGAGCGCCCGUCUGCGGAGCGGGGAGGUUGCGGGUUCGAGUCCCGUUAGCUCCA